GUGAAAACGGAACAGUAACUGCCUUAAAGAUCGUGAGAUGAGAUUAUCCAGGUAUGUCCUAAAUCCAACAGUUAGGUGCUUUCUCAGGAGUCCAGAAGGCCGGACUCACACGUGGCAGAGGCCAUCUGCACACAGCAGCUGAGAACGGAACCCUGCAGCCACGGGCAGAAGGAACAUGAGCUCAAAGAGGAAAGAAGGCUUGAGAAAGGGGCGAAUUAGCCCCGAUGAUACCUGAUUCCAGACCGCCCGCCUCCUGAACUAAUGCACCUCUGAGUGGUCCACCUUCCCCACCUCCAAAUCCUUACUCAAGCUCGGGAUGUUAUCAUCUGUCUUGGAUGGCCUUCCUUCUGGAUCCACAGCCUGCUCUCUCAUGGAUUGCCUCUUCCUCAGAGUCCCUUUUCCAAAAAUAAACCUAAUCUCAACAAUGCCCUGUUUAAAAAUC
Molecule: long non-coding RNA, 442 nt
Organism: Apodemus sylvaticus (European woodmouse)
Lineage: Eukaryota; Metazoa; Chordata; Mammalia; Rodentia; Muridae
Exons: 2
Source: RefSeq, a predicted model, not a curated record